Molecule: ribosomal RNA, 464 nt
Filed under: uncultured bacterium
Lineage: Bacteria
Description: partial 16S ribosomal RNA
Rfam family: Bacterial small subunit ribosomal RNA
Source: RNAcentral
GACGAACGCUGGCGGCGUGCUUAACACAUGCAAGUCGAACGGGAAGGCCCCUUCGGGGGUACUCGAGUGGCGAACGGGUGAGUAACACGUGAGUAACCUGCCCUUGACUUCGGGAUAACUUCAGGAAACUGGGGCUAAUACCGGAUAGGAAUCCUUGCUGCAUGGUGGGGGUUGGAAAGCUUCGGCGGUUUUGGAUGGACUCGCGGCUUAUCAGCUUGUUGGUGGGGUAGUGGCUUACCAAGGCUUUGACGGGUAGCCGGCCUGAGAGGGCGACCGGCCACAUUGGGACUGGGAUACGGCCCAGACUCCUACGGGAGGCAGCAGUGGGGAAUAUUGCACAAUGGGCGGAAGCCUGAUGCAGCAACGCCGCGUGCGGGAUGACGGCCUUCGGGUUGUAAACCGCUUUCAGCAGGGGCGAAGCUUGUGGUGACGGUACCUGCAGAAGAAACACCGGCUAACUACGU